GGCGCUUACGUUCUUCCUGCAACAUGAGAAGGGAGGGAGGGACUCUCAGCAGGGAUGCAGUCUGGGACACGUAGUUGCAAACCUAGCGACUUUGUUGUUAGAUUCAAUGACUUUUCAGACCCCCUAACGACUUUUUUUUAGAAAGAAAGGGACUUUUAUCGACUUCUUCUGGAGUUUAGAGACUCUGACAUGAAGCAGGCUUUCCUUACUGAGGAGUUAGCAACGCUGCUAAGGGUGCAGAGCCACACAUGCGCUCAGAGCUCUGCAUGGGAGACUGAAGCUGACAGAGCUGCAGCAGUUAGCAGGUUUCACCCUCAGAGACCACCAGGGGUUCAUGUUGAGGCAUUUUCAGUUUUUUUUUUUUGUGCCAUAGACACUGUCAGCACAAUCUGCAGUUACACUAACAAAAAUGCUGCAAAAAACAAAGAAUUAUGGAAAAAUUACACAUGGACUGACAUAGAGGAGGAUCUACACAAGUUUUUUACAUCAUGUUUUACAUCAUGCAUCAUUUACAUCAUGUUUUUUUGUAGUGGCAUGAAUAAAAAGUGACAUUUGUGAGACUAUACAGUGUUUUGUAAAUAAUUUUACAAAGAACGCCUGGGCCAUUGCCUGCAUUUUGAUGUAAAUAGAGGUAAAUUACUAUGUUCUUUGUUAAAAAUUUGCAUAUGUUUUGAAGUUUACAAUUUUUAUUUGAAGUUUAAGUUUUAAAAACAGUUCAUCACACAUAUUUGUGGUUUAAUUUCACAUUAAUUUCCAUAUUGUAUAAAUGACUGGAAAAAACUUGAGCCCCUGCCCCUGUAUAAUCAUGUGCACGUCCCUGUUCUAGCUCCAAGGUGAAUCUUCACUGCUCAUGUUCUCCUCAGAAAUAGUCACCUCACUCCCCUCAGGUUACUGUACACAUGCACCAACUAUCUGCUUCAGGUUUGAAAUGGAGCUUCAUGGUUGUCUUUUGGAGAAAUGAACAGUCAAGUUGUGUUUGAAAUUUGAUUUUUUUCAGGGGCAAAAGGAAGCCUCUGCAUUCUUGUCAAAUAUGUAAACAGCAUGUUUUUGCAGGUGCUAAAAAACAGACUCUGAGUGUGUGUGUGUGUCUGUGUGUGUGUGUGUCUGUGUGUGUGUGUAUGUUGGCGUGUGUGUAUAUGUGUGUGUAUCCUGCAGUACUCUGUACUCCUGCAGUGGCCAAAAAAACCUUUUAAGAAUGUGGAUUUUUGGGUCAUCUUUGGCGCCCCCUAGAACUGCAGUACUCUGUACUCCUGCAGUGGCCAAAAUGACUUUUAAGAAUGUGGAUUUUUGGGUCAUCUUUGGCGCCCCCUAGAACGUAAACCGUGGGGUGCAGCGUCAUGAUUUUUACAACUUUGAAUGGGCAUGGGGUGUAGAUUGCCCUGAGCAAAUUUGGUAUCGGUGGGACGAAAGCCUUAGGAGGAGAUAGCCACAUUCCAAUGUGUGCGAAUCGGCAAAAAAUGCAAAAUAGCCCUUUAACCGUACAUUAUAAAGAUACGCGCUCUUUGACUUUUUCGUAGAUCUAAUUGAGAUACACAUGAUUGUCAAUUUUUGUGUCAAUAUGACAAAGCGUUCAGGUGUGACACUCAACAAUGUGUAUUUUCAUGUAAGGGGACAAGAAAAAAUGGACUUUUUUCUCCUACCAUGGGGGGGCGCUCUUUUGGGGAGUAAAAAUUCCUUCACAAAUGUGUUGAUGGCUGGACAUUGCAUCAUCCUAGAAAACUUGGAGGCCAGUGAGGACAAAAAUAAAAAGUUAUAAAACAUUUAAGAAUGUGGAUUUUUGGGUUAUUUUUGGCGCCCCCUAGAACCUAAACCAUGGGGUGCAGCGUCAUGAUUUGAAUAACUUUUAAUGGCCAUGGGGUGUAGAUUGGCCUGAGCAAAUGUGGUGCCGGUGGAACGAAAGCCUUCGGAGGAGUUAGCGAAAUUCCAAUGUGUGCGUAUCGGCAAAAAAUGCGGAAUAACCCUUUAACUGUACAUUUGACAGAUACGCGCGCAUGGACUUUUUUGUAGAUCUUAUUGAGUUACAUGUGUGUGUCAAUUUUUGUGUCAUUUUGACAAAGCGUAUAGGCGUGACACUCAAGAAUGUGUAUUUUCACCUUAGGGGACAAGAAAAAAUGGACUUUUUUCUCCUGCCAUGGGGGGGCGCUCUUUUGGGGAGUAAAAAUUCCUUCACAAAUGUGUUGAUGGCUGGACAUUGCAUCAUCCUAGAAAACUUGGAGGCCAGUAAGGACAAAAAUAAAAAGUUAUAAGACUUUUAAAUAUGUGGAUUUUAGUGUUAUCUUUGGCGCCCCCUAGAACCUAAACCUUGGGGUGCAGCGUCAUGAUUUUGAUAACUUUUAAUGGCCACGGGGUGUAGAUUGGCCUGAGCAAAUGUGGUGCCGGUGGAACGAAAGCCUUCGGAGGAGUUAGCGAAAUUCCAAUGUGUGCGGAUCGGCAAAAAAUGCGAAAUAACCCUUUGACCGUACAUUUGACAGAUACGGCCGCACUGACUUUUUUGUAGAUCUUAUUGAGAUACAUAUGUGUGUCAAUUUUUGUGUCAAUAUGACAAAGCGUACAGGCGUGACAGUCAAUAGUGUGAAUUUCCACCUUAGGGGGCGCUAUGGAGCCAUUUUGCAUUUUAUUGUUUGGGCGACUUCAGAAUAUCGAAUUUUUCACCAGGCCCGGUCGUCCUGCCAAAUUUCAUGAGUUUUCGCCAGUGGGAAGUGGGCCAUUUUCCAGUUCAAAGGGGAGGAAAAAGAAGAAACUAGGGCCCCGUUGGGGCACUGGCGGGCCCGAGCCGUGUCGCGCCCCCCCCCCCAACGCGCUGCCUCCCCGUCCCAUUCGCAUCCUCUGGCCAUCGACCUCUCUGGUAACGCCCAUCACUGCAAAGACCCUUUUCCUUCAUCGGCGUUUGCUGUUCUUCCUGCCAGUGCGUGUUGCUUUCACUUACACUUGCCACAGCCAGCCUCGUGAGUGCCUAGCCUAUUGGAUAUCACUGUCAUCUACACAGGACAGUCCUUACCUUUCUAUUAAUACUUUGUUUUUUAAUUUCACAUUAAUUUCCAUAUUGUAUAAAGGACUGGAAAAGACUUGAGCCCCUGCCCCUGUAUAAUCAUGUGCACGUCCCUGUUCUGGCUCUAAGGUGAAUCUUCACUGCUCAUGUUCUCCUCAGAAGCAGUCACCUCACUCCCCUCAGGUUACUGUACACACGCAGCAACUGCAUGCUUCAGGUUUAGAUAGCGCUUCAUGGUUGUCUUUUGGAGAAAUGAGCAGUCAAGUUGUGUUUGAAAUUUGAUUUUUUUCAGGGGCAAAAGGAGCCUCUGCAUUCUUGUCAAAUAUGUAAAUAGCAUGUUUUUGCAGGUGCUAAAAACCAGACUCUGAGUGUGUGUGUGUGUGUGUGUGUGUGUGUGUGUGCGUGUGUGUGUGUCUGUGUGUGCGUUCAAGUCACAUGACAUAUUUAACCGGAUGUAGCUGCAAGACGGAGCCUCGUUGACUCUCCGUUUCAACUUAUCUCAAAAGUGAGGACCUCAACCUAUAUACCAGUUUUUAAAUUGUGUUGAUAGGCCAAAUAAAACCAGAGUUAUGAUAAAUUAUGUCCGCGAUACUUUUUUUCUGCUUAUUUUGAUCACGUUCGGCGCUCGAUCGCGCUGUAUGAGACAGGAAAACAUAGCAUGCAGACAUUAGCGACAGGUCUUACAGGCGGAAAAGGCUUGCCAAAAGAAAAAAAAAACACACCACAACAUCUCUCCUAUUGGUGGAAAACUUCACCACAACAACCAAUCCAAAAUUAUAUGGUGACUGAUUGACAAGGGGCGGGCGCUUAUGUUCUUCCUGCAAUAUGAGAAGGGAGGGAGGGACUCUCAGCAGGGAUGCAGUCUGGGACACGUAGUUGCAAACCUAGCGACUUUGUUGUUAGAUUCAAUGACUUUUCAGACCCCCUAACGACUUUUUUAGAAAGAAAGUGACUUUUAUCGACUUCUUCUGGAGUUUAGAGACUCUGACAUGAAGCAGGCUUUCCUUACUGAGGAGUUAGCAACGCUGCUAAGGGUGCAGAGCCACACAUGCGCUCCGAGCUCUGCAUGGGAGACUGAAGCUGACAGAGCUGCAGCAGUUAGCAGGUUUCACCCUCAGAGACCACCAGGGGUUCAUGUUGAGGCAUUUUCAGUUUUUUUUUUUUUUUUUGCCAUAGACACUGUCAGCACAAUCUGUAGUUACACUCACAAAAAUGCUGCAAAAAACAAAGAAUUAUGGAAAAAUUACACAUGGACUGACAUAGAGGAGGAUCUACACAAGUUUUUUACAUCAUGUUUUACAUCAUGCAUCAUUUACAUCAUGUUUUUUUGUAGUGGCAUAAAUAAAAAGUGACAUUUGUGAGACUAUACAGUGUUUUGUAAAUAAUUUUACAAAGAACGCCUGGGCCAUUGCCUGCAUUUUGAUGUAAAUAGAGGUAAAUUACUAUGUUCUUUGUUAAAAAUUUGCAUAUGUUUUGAAGUUUACAAUUUUUAUUUGAAGUUUAAGUUUUAAAAACAGUUCAUCACACAUAUUUGUGGUUUAAUUUCACAUUAAUUUCCACAUUGUAUAAAUGACUGGAAAAAACUUGAGCCCCUGCCCCUGUAUAAUCAUGUGCACGUCCCUGUUCUAGCUCCAAGGUGAAUCUUCACUGCUCAUGUUCUCCUCAGAAAUAGUCACCUCACUCCCCUCAGGUUACUGUACACAUGCACCAACUAUCUGCUUCAGGUUUGAAAUGGAGCUUCAUGGUUGUCUUUUGGAGAAAUGAACAGUCAAGUUGUGUUUGAAAUUUGAUUUUUUUCAGGGGCAAUAGGAAGCCUCUGCAUUCUUGUCAAAUAUGUAAACAGCAUGUUUUUGCAGGUGCUAAAAAACAGACUCUGAGUGUGUGUGUGUGUCUGUGUGUGUGUGUGUGUGUGUGUGUGUAUGUUGGCGUGUGUGUAUAUGUGUGUGUAUCCUGCAGUACUCUGUACUCCUGCAGUGGCCAAAAAGACUUUUAAGAAUGUGGAUUUUUGGGUCAUCUUUGGCGCCCCCUAGAACUGCAGUACUCUGUACUCCUGCAGUGGCCAAAAUGACUUUUAAGAAUGUGGAUUUUUGGGUCAUCUUUGGCGCCCCCUAGAACGUAAACCGUGGGGUGCAUCGCCAUGAUUUUUACAACUUUGAAUGGGCAUGGGGUGUAGAUUGCCCUGAGCAAAUUUGGUAUCGGUGGGACGAAAGCCUUAGGAGGAGAUAGCCACAUUCCAAUGUGUGCGAAUCGGCAAAAAAUGCAAAAUAGCCCUUUCACCGUACAUUAUACAGAUACGCGCUCUUUGACUUUUUCGUAGAUCUAAUUGAGAUACACAUGAUUGUCAAUUUUUGUGUCAAUAUGACAAAGCGUUCAGGCGUGACACUCAACAAUGUGUAUUUUCAUGUAAGGGGACAAGAAAAAAUUGACUUUUUUCUCCUACCAUGGGGGGGCGCUCUUUUGGGGAGUAAAAAUUCCUUCACAAAUGUGUUGAUGGCUGGACAUUGCAUCAUCCUAGAAAACUUGGAGGCCAGUGAGGACAAAAAUAAAAAGUUAUAAGACUUUUAAAUAUGUGGAUUUUAGGGUUAUCUUUGGCGCCCCCUAGAACCUAAACCGUGGGGUGCAGCAUCAUGAUUUGAAUAACUUUUAAUGGCCAUGGGGUGUAGAUUGGCCUGAGCAAAUGUGGUGCCGGUGGAACGAAAGCCUUAGGAGGAGUUAGCCACAUUCCAAUGUGUGCGGAUCGGCAAAAAAUGCGGAAUAACCCUUUAACCGUACAUUUGACAGAUACGCGCGCAUUGACUUUUUCGUAGAUCUUAUUGAGUUACAUGUGUGUGUCAAUUUUUGUGUCAUUUUGACAAAGCGUAUAGGCGUGACACUCAACAAUGUGUAUUUUCACCUUAGGGGACAAGAAAAAAUGGACUUUUUUCUCCUGCCAUGGGGGGGCGCUCUUUUGGGGAGUAAAAAUUCCUUCACAAAUGUGUUGAUGGCUGGACAUUGCAUCAUCCUAGAAAACUUGGAGGCCAGUGAGGGCAAAAAUAAAAAGUUAUAAGACUUUUAAAAAUGUGGAUUUUAGGGUUAUCUUUGGCGCCCCCUAGAACGUAAACCGUGGGGUGCAGCGUCAUGAUUUGAAUAACUUUUAAUGGCCAUGGGGUGUAGAUUGGCCUGAGCAAAUGUGGUGCCGGUGGAACGAAAGCCUUCGGAGGAGUUAGCGAAAUUCCAAUGUGUGCGGAUCGGCAAAAAAUGCGAAAUAACCCUUUAACCGUACAUUAGACAGAUACGCGCGCAUGGACUUUUUUGUAGAUCUUAUUGAGAUACAUGUGUGUGUCAAUUUUUGUGUCAUUUUGACAAAGCGUACAGGCGUGACAGUCAAUAGUGUGAAUUUUCACCUUAGGAGACAAGAAAAAAUGGACUUUUUUCUCCUGCCAUGGGGGGGCGCUCUUUUGGGGAGUAAAAAUUCCUUCACAAAUGUGUUGAUGGCUGGACAUUGCAUCAUCCUAGAAAACUUGGAGGCCAGUGAGGGCAAAAAUAAAAAGUUAUAAGACUUUUAAAUAUGUGGAUUUUAGGGUUAUCUUUGGCGCCCCCUAGAACCUAAACCGUGGGGUGCAGCGUCAUGAUUUGAAUAACUUUUAAUGGCCAUGGGGUGUAGAUUGGCCUGAGCAAAUGUGGUGCCGGUGGAACGAAAGCCUUCGGAGGAGUUAGCGAAAUUCCAAUGUGUGCGGAUCGGCAAAAAAUGCGAAAUAACCCUUUAACCGUACAUUUGACAGAUACGCCCGCACUGACUUUUUUGUAGAUCUUAUUGAGAUACAUGUGUGUGUCAAUUUUUGUGUCAUUUUGACAAAGCGUACAGGCGUGACAGUCAAUAGUGUGAAUUUUCACCUUAGGGGGCGCUAUGGAGCCAUUUUGCAUUUUCUUGUUUGGGCGACUUCGGAAUAUCAAAUUUUUCACCAGGCCCGGUCGUCCUGCCAAAUUUCAUGAGUUUUCGCCAGUGGGAAGUGGGCCAUUUUCCAGUUUAAAGGGGAGGAAAAAUAAUAACUAGGACCCCGUUGGGGCACUGGCGGGCCCGAGCCGUGUCGCGUCCCUCCCCCCCCCCCCAACGUGCUGCCUUCCCGUCCCAUUUGUGUCCUCUGGCCAUCGCCCUCUCUGGUAACGCCCAUCACUGCAAAGACCCUUUUCCUUCAUCGGCGUUUGCUGUUCUUCCUGCCAGUGCGUGUUGCUUUCACUUACACUUGCCACAGCCAGCCUCGUGAGUGCCUAGCCUAUUGGAUAUCACUGUCACCUACACAGGACAGUCAUUACCUUUCUAUUAAUACUUUGUGUUUUAAUUUCACAUUAAUUUCCAUAUUGUAUAAACGACUGGAAAAAACUUGAGCCCCUGCCCCUGUAUAAUCAUGUGCAUGUCUCUGUUCUAGCUCCAAGGUGAAUCUUCACUGCUCAUGUUCUCCUCAGAAGCACUCACCUCACUCCCCUCAGGUUACUGUACACAUGCACCAACUGCCUGCUUCAGGUUUGGAUGGAGCUUCAUGGUUGUCUUUUGGAGAAAUGACCAGUCAAGUUGUGUUUGAAAUUUGAUUUUUUUCAGGGGCAAAAGGAGCCUCUGCAUUCUUGUCAAAUAUGUAAAUAGCAUGUUUUUGCAGGUGCUAAAAACCAGACUCUGAGUGUGUGUGUGUGUGUGUGUGGGUGUGUGUGUGUCUGUGUGUGCGUUCAAGUCACAUGACAUAUUUAACCGGAUGUAGCUGCAAGACGGAGCCUCGUUGACUCUCCGUUUCAACUUAUCUCAAAAGUGAGGACCUCAACCUAUAUACCAGUUUUUAAAUUGUGUUGAUAGGCCAAAUAAAACCAGAGUUAUGAUAAAUUAUGUCCGCGAUACUUUUUUUCUGCUUAUUUUGAUCACGUUCGGCGCUCGAUCGCGCUGUAUGAGACAGGAAAACAUAGCAUGCAGACAUUAGCGACAGGUCUUACAGGCGGAAAAGGCUUGCCAAAAGAAAAAAAAAAACACACCACAACAUCUCUCCUAUUGGUGGAAAACUUCACCACAACAACCAAUCCAAAAUUAUAUGGUGACUGAUUGACAAGGGGCGGGCGCUUACGUUCUUCCUGCAACAUGAGAAGCGAGGGAGGGACUCUCAGCAGGGAUGCAGUCUGGGACACGUAGUUGCAAACCUAGCGACUUUGUUGUUAGAUUCAAUGACUUUUCAGACCCCCUUACGACUUUUUUUUAGAAAGAAAGGGACUUUUAUCGACUUCUUCUGGAGUUUAGAGACUCUGACAUGAAGCAGGCUUUCCUUACUGAGGAGUUAGCAACGCUGCUAAGGGUGCAGAGCCACACAUGCGCUCAGAGCUCUGCAUGGGAGACUGAAGCUGACAGAGCUGCAGCAGUUAGCAGGUUUCACCCUCAGAGACCACCAGGGGUUCAUGUUGAGGCAUUUUAAUUUUUUUUUUUUUUGUGCCAUAGACACUGUCAGCACAAUCUGCAGUUACACUAACAAAAAUGCUGCAAAAAACAAAGAAUUAUGGAAAAAUUACACAUGGACUGACAUAGAGGAGGAUCUACACAAGUUUUUUACAUCAUGUUUUACAUCAUGCAUCAUUUACAUCAUGUUUUUUUGUAGUGGCAUAAAUAAAAAGUGACAUUUGUGAGACUAUACAGUGUUUUGUAAAUAAUUUUACAAAGAACGCCUGGGCCAUUGCCUGCAUUUUGAUGUAAAUAGAGGUAAAUUACUAUGUUCUUUGUUAAAAAUUUGCAUAUGUUUUGAAGUUUACAAUUUUUAUUUGAAGUUUAAGUUUUAAAAACAGUUCAUCACACAUAUUUGUGUUUUAAUUUCACAUUAAUUUCCAUAUUGUAUAAAUGACUGGAAAAAACUUGAGCCCCUGCCCCUGUAUAAUCAUAUGCACGUCCCUGUUCUAGCUCCAAGGUGAAUCUUCACUGCUCAUGUUCUCCUCAGAAAUAGUCACCUCACUCCCCUCAGGUUACUGUACACAUGCACCAACUAUCUGCUUCAGGUUUGGAUGGAGCUUCAUGGUUGUCUUUUGGAGAAAUGAACAGUCAAGUUGUGUUUGAAAUCUGAUUUUUUUCAGGGGCAAAAGGAAGCCUCUGCAUUCUUGUCAAAUAUGUAAACAGCAUGUUUUUGCAGGUGCUAAAAAACAAACUCUGAGUGUGUGUGUGUGUGUGUGUGUGUGUGUGUGUGUGUGUGUGUGUGUGUGUAUGUGUGUGUAUCCUGCAGUACUCUGUACUCCUGCAGUGGCCAAAAAGACUUUUAAGAAUGUGGAUUUUUGGGUCAUCUUUGGCGCCCCCUAGAACUGCAGUACUCUGUACUCCUGCAGUGGCCAAAAUGACUUUUAAGAAUGUGGAUUUUUGGGUCAUCUUUGGUGCCCCCUAGAACGUAAACCGUGGGGUGCAGCGUCAUGAUUUUUACAACUUUGAAUGGGCAUGGGGUGUAGAUUGCCCUGAGCAAAUUUGGUAUCGGUGGGACGAAAGCCUUAGGAGGAGAUAGCCACAUUCCAAUGUGUGCGAAUCGGCAAAAAAUGCGAAAUAGCCCUUUAACCGUACAUUAUACAGAUACGCGCUUUUUGACUUUUUCGUAGAUCUAAUUGAGAUACACGUGAUUGUCAAUUUUUGUGUCAAUAUGACAAAGCGUUCAGGCGUGACACUCAACAAUGUGUAUUUUCAUGUAAGGGGACAAGAAAAAAUGGACUAUUUUCUCCUGCCAUGGGGGGGCGCUCUUUUGGGGAGUAAAAAUUCCUUCACAAAUGUGUUGAUGGCUGGACAUUGCAUCAUCCUAGAAAACUUGGAGGGCAGUGAGGACAAAAAUAAAAAGUUAUAAGACUUUUAAGAAUGUGGAUUUUGGGUUAUCUUUGGCGCCCCCUAGAACGUAAACCGUGGGGUGCAGCGUCAUGAUUUGUACAACUUUUAAUGGCCAUGGGGGGUAGAUUGGCCUGCGCAAAUGUGGUGCCGGUCGAACGAAAGCCUUCGGAGGAGUUAGCGAAAUUCCAAUGUGUGCAGAUCUGCAAAAAAUGCAAAAUAACCCAUUAACCGUACAUUUGACAGAUACGCCCGCACUGACUUUUUUGUAGAUCUUAUUGAGAUACAUGUGUGUGUCAAUUUUUGUGUCAAUAUGACAAAGCGUACAGCCGUCAUGUGAAUUUUCACCUUAGGGGGCGCUAUGGAGCCAUUUUGCAUUUUAUUGUUUGGGCGACUUCAGAAUAUCGAAUUUUUCACCAGGCCCGGUCGUCCUGCCAAAUUUCCUGAGUUUUCGCCAGUGGGAAGUGGGCCAUUUUCCAGUUUAAAGCGGAGGAAAAAUAAUAACGAAAGAAGGAAACAUGCAGGAACAAGAGGGCUCUCGCAGCUGCUUAGCAGCUACACUCGGGCCCUAACUAGGGCCCCGGUGGGGCACUGUCGGGCCCGAGCCGCGUCGCGCCGCCCCCAGCGCGACCACCUCCCCCUCCCGAUCGCGUCACACUCAAGGUCCAAAGAUGGUGUGCGCACUUGUCUGUGGUCAUUUCCCAUUAUAAUGAAUGGGAGGCGCAGUUUCUACCAAAACACUCGCUGCAGACAAACUACAUGUCCUAUUUGAAAAAAGUCUGGACCAUGAGUGAGGGCACAAACACAGCUAGGAUAUAUCCAAAUGGCAAGUUGCUCCUCCUUACGGUGUAUCCGGGAGAGCGAUGCGAUUGAGCCAUUGAGCAAUGGGCAGGAAAAACUUGACUUUUCCUCCUGCCUUGGGGGGAGGGGGGGAUGUGGAUUCUUUUAAGAAUGUGGAUAUUUGGGUCAUCUUUGGCGCCCCCUAGAACGUAAACCGUGGGGUGCAGCGUCAUGAUUUUUACAACUUUGAAUGGCCAUGGGAUGUAGAUCGGCUUGAGCAAAUUUGGUGUCGGUGGGACGAAAGCCUUAGGAGGAGUUAGCAAAAUUCCAAUGUGUGCGAAUCGGGAAAAAAUGCGAAAUAGCCCUUUGACCGUACAUUUUACAGAUACGUGCACAUUGACUUUUUCGUAGAUCUUAUUGAGAUACAUGUGUGUGUCAAAUUUUGUGUCAUUUUGACAAAACAUACAGGCGUAGCACUCAACAAUGUGUAUUUUCACCUUAGUGGACAAGAAAAAAUUGACUUUUUUCUCCUGCCAUGGGGGGGCGCUCGUUUCGAGAGUAAAAAUUCCUUUACAAAUGUGUUGAUGGCUGGACAUUGCAUCAUCCUAGAAAACUUGGAGGCCAGUGAGGACAAAAAUAAAAAGUUAUAAGACUAUUAAGAAUGUGGAUUUUUGGGUUAUGUUUGGCGCCCCCCUAGAACCUAAACCGUGGGGUGCAGCGUCAUGAUUUGAAUAACUUUUAAUGGCCAUGGGGUGUAGAUUGGCCUGAGCAAAUGUGGUGCCGGUGGAACGAAAGCCUUCGGAGGAGUUAGCGAAAUUCCAAUGUGUGCGGAUCGGGAAAAAAUGCGAAAUAACCCUUUAACCGUACAUUUUGCAGAUACGUGCCCGGUGACUUUUUCGUAGAUCUUAUUGAGAUACACGUGAUUGUCAAAUUUUGGGUCAAUAUGACAAAGCGUAUAGGCGUGACACUCAACAAUGUGUAUUUUCACCUUAGGGGACAAGAAAAAAUGGACUUUUUUCUCCUGCCAUGGGGGGGCGCUCUUUUGGGGAGUAAAAAUUCCUUCACAAAUGUGUUGUUGGCUGGACAUUGCAUCAUCCUAGAAAACUUGGAGGCCAUUGAGGACAAAAAUACAAAGUUGUAAGACUUUUAAGACUGUGGAUUUUUGGGUUAUAUUUGGCGCCCCCUAGAACGUAAACCGUGGGGUGCAGCGUUAUGAUUUGUACAACUUUUAAUGGCCAUGGGGUGUAGAUUGGCCUGAGCAAAUGUGGUGCCGGUGGAACGAAUGCCUUCGGAGGAGUUAGCGAAAUUCCAAUGUGUGCAGAUCUGCAAAAAAUGCGAAAUAACCCUCUAACCGUACAUUUCACAGAUGCGCCCGCACUGACUUUUUCGUAGACCGUAUAGCGAUACACGUGUGUGUCAAUUUUUGUGUCAAUACAACAAAGCGUACAGGCGUGACAGUCAAUAGUGUGAAUUUUCACCUUAGGGGGCGCUAUGGAGCCAUUUUGCAUUUUAUUGUUUGGGCGACUUCAGAAUAUCGAAUUUUUCACCAGGCCCGGUCGUCCUGCCAAAUUUCAUGAGUUUUCGCCAGUGGGAAGUGGGCCAUUUUCCCCUUCAAAGGGGAGGAAAAAUAAGAAGAAAGAAAGAAAGAAAGAAGAAAGAAAAACCACUACAGGAAUAAUAGGGCUCUACGCCCGGCUGCUCUGCAGCUGGCUCGGGCCCUAAUAAUAAUAACAAACUAGGGCCCCGGUGGGGCACUGUCGGGCCCGAGCCGCAUCGUGCCGCCCCCAGCGUGACCGCCUCCCCCUCCCGAUCGCGUCACACUCAAGGUCCAAAGAUGGUGUGCGCACUUGUCUGCGGUCAUUUCCCAUUAUAAUGAAUGGGAGGCACAGUUUCUACCAAAACACUUGCUGCAGACAAACUUCAUGUCCUAUUUGAAAAAAGUCUGGACCAUGAGUGAGGGCACAAACACAGCUGGGAUAUAUCCAAAUGGCAGGUUGCUCCUCGUUACGGUGUUGCCUGGAGAGCGAUGCGAUUGAGCCAUUGAGCGAUGGGCAGGAAAAACUUGACUUUUUCUCCUGCCAUGGGGGGGGGGAGAAUGUGGAUUCUUUUAAGAAUGUGGAUUUUUUGGUCAUCUUUGGCGCCCCCUAGAACGUAAACCGUGGGGUGCAGCGUCAUGAUUUUUACAACUUUGAAUGGCCAUGGGGUGUAGAUUGGCCUGAGCAAAUUUGGUUUCAGUGGGACGAAAGCCUUAGGAGGAGUUAGCCACAUUCCAAUGUGUGCGAAUCGGCAAAAAAUGCAAAAUAGCCCUCUAACCGUACAUUUUACAGAUACGUGGCCAUUGACUUUUUCGAAGAUCUUAUUGAAAUACACGUGUAUGUAAAAUUUUGUGUCAAUACGACAAAACAUACAGGCGUAGCACUCAACAAUGUGUAUUUUCACCUUAGUGGACAAGAAAAAAUUGACUUUUUUCUCCUGCCAUGGGGGGGCGCUCUUUUGCCGAGUAAAAAUUCCUUCACAAAUGUGUUGAUGGCUGGACAUUGCAUCAUCCUAGAAAACUUGGAGGCCAGUGGGGACAAAAAUAAAAAGUUAUAAGACUUUUAAAUAUGUGGAUUUUACGGUUAUCUUUGGCGCCCCCUAGAACCUAAACCGUGGGGUGCAGCGUCAUGAUUUGAAUAACUUUUAAUGGCCAUGGGGUGUAGAUUGGCCUGAGCAAAUGUGGUGCCGGUGGAACGAAAGCCUUCGGAGGAGUUAGCGAAAUUCCAAUGUGUGCGGAUCGGCAAAAAAUGCGGAAUAACCCUUUAACCGUACAUUUGACAGAUACGCGCGCAUUGACUUUUUCGUAGAUCUUAUUGAGAUACAUGUGUGUGUCAAUUUUUGUGUCAUUUUGCCAAAGCGUACAGGUGUUACACCCAACAAUGUGUAUUUUCACCUUAGGGGACAAGAAAAAAUGGACUUUUUUCUCCUGCCAUGGGGGGGCGCUCUUUUGGGGAGUAAAAAUUCCUUCACAAAUGUGUUGAUGGCUGGACAUUGCAUCAUCCUAGAAAACUUGGAGGCCAGUGAGGGCAAAAAUAAAAAGUUAUAAGACUUUUAAAUAUGUGGAUCUUAGGGUUAUCUUUGGCGCCCCCUAGAACCUAAACCGUGGGGUGCAGCGUCAUGAUUUGAAUAACUUUUAAUGGCCAUGGGGUGUAGAUUGGCCUGAGCAAAUGUGGUGCCGGUGGAACGAAAGCCUUCGGAGGAGUUAGCGAAAUUCCAAUGUGUGCGGAUCGGCAAAAAAUGCGAAAUAACCCUUUAACCGUACAUUUGACAGAUACGCCCGCACUGACUUUUUUGUAGAUCUUAUUGAGAUACAUGUGUGUGUCAAUUUUUGUGUCAUUUUGACAAAGCGUACAGGCGUGACAAUGAAUAGUGUGAAUUUUCACCUUAGGGGGCGCUAUGGAGCCAUUUUGCAUUUUCUUGUUUGGGCGACUUCGGAAUAUCAAAUUUUUCACCAGGCCCGGUCGUCCUGCCAAAUUUCAUGAGUUUUCGCCAGUGGGAAGUGGGCCAUUUUCCAGUUCAAAGGGGAGUAAAUAUAAUAAUAAUAAUAACAAAAGAAGGAAACUACAGGAACAAGAGGGCUCUCGCAGCUGCUUAGCAGCUACGCUCGGGCCCUAAUAACUAGGGCCCCGUUGGGGCACUGGCGGGCCCGAGCCGCGUUGCGCCGCCCCCAGUGCGACCGCCUCCCUCUCCCGAUCGCGUCACACUCAAGGUCCAAAGAUGGUGUGCGCACUUGUCUGUGGUCAUUUCCCAUUAUAAUGAAUGGGAGGCGCAGUUUCUACCAAAACACUCGCUGCAGACAAACUACAUAUCCUAUUUGAAAAAAGUCUGGACCAUGAGUGAGGGCACAAACACAGCUAGGAUAUAUCCAAACGGCAAGUUGCUCCUCGUUACGGUGUUGCCGGGAGAGCGAUGCGAUUGAGCCAUUGAGUGAUGGGCAGGAAAAACUUGACUGUUUCUCCUGCCAUGGGGGAUGGGGGAUGGGGGAUGGGGGGGGGGGGGAUGUGGAUUCUUUUAAGAAUGUGGAUAUUUGGGUCAUCUUUGGCGCCCCCUAGAACGUAAACCGUGGGGUGCAGCGUCAUGAUUUUUAAAACUUUGAAUGGCCAUGGGGUGUAGAUUGGCCUGAGCAAAUUUGGUGUCAGUGGGACGAAAGCCUUAGGAGGAGUUAGCCACAUUCCAAUGUGUGCUAAUCGGCAAAAAAUGCAAAAUAGCCCUUUAACCGUACAUUAUACAGAUACGCGCUCUUUGACUUUUUCGUAGAUCUAAUUGAGAUACACAUGAUUGUCAAUUUUUGUGUCAUUUUGCCAAAGCGUACAGGCGUGACAGUCAACAAUGUGUAUUUUCACCUUAGGGGACAAGAAAAAAUGGACUUUUUUCUCCUGCCAUGGGGGGGCGCUCUUUUGGGGAGUAAAAAUUCCUUCACAAAUGUGUUGAUGGCUGGACAUUGCAUCAUCCUAGAAAACUUGGAGGCCAGUGAGGACAAAAAUAAAAAGUUAUAAGACUUUUAAAAAUGUGGAUUUUUGGGUUAUCUUUGGCGCCCCCUAGAACGUAAACCGUGGGGUGCAGCGUCAUGAUUUGAAUAACUUUUAAUGGCCAUGGGGUGUAAUUUGGCCUGAGCAAAUGUGGUGCCGGUGGAACGAAAGCCUUCGGAGGAGUUAGCGAAAUUCCAAUGUGUGCGAAUCGGCAAAAAAUGCGGAAUAACCCUUUAACCGUACAUUAGACAGAUACGCGCGCAUGGACUUUUUUGUAGAUCUUAUUGAGAUACAUGUGUGUGUCAAUUUUUGUGUCAUUUUGACAAAGCGUACAGGCGUGACACUCAACAAUGUGUAUUUUCACCUUAGGGGACAAGAAAAAAUGGACUUUUUUCUCCUGCCAUGGGGGGGCGCUCUUUUGGGGAGUAAAAAUUCCUUCACAAAUGUGUUGAUGGCUGGACAUUGCAUCAUCCUAGAAAACUUGGAGGCCAGUGAGGGCAAAAAUAAAAAGUUAUAAGACUUUUAAAAAUGUGGAUUUUAGGGUUAUCUUUGGCGCCCCCUAGAACCUAAACCGUGGGGUGCAGCGUCAUGAUUUGAAUAACUUUUAAUGGCCAUGGGGUGUAGAUUGGCCUGAGCAAAUGUGGUGCCGGUGGAACGAAAGCCUUCGGAGGAGUUAGCGAAAUUCCAAUGUGUGCGGAUCGGCAAAAAAUGCGAAAUAACCCUUUAACCGUACAUUUGACAGAUACGCCCGCACUGACUUUUUUGUAGAUCUUAUUGAGAUACAUGUGUGUGUCAAUUUUUGUGUCAUUUUGACAAAGCGUACAGGCGUGACAGUCAAUAGUGUGAAUUUUCACCUUAGGGGGCGCUAUGGAGCCAUUUUGCAUUUUUUUGUUUGGGCGACUUCGGAAUAUCAAAUUUUUCACCAGGCCCGGUCGUCCUGCCAAAUUUCCUGAGUUUUCGCCAGUGGGAAGUGGGCCAUUUUCCAGUUCAAAGGGGAGGAAAAAGAAGAAAGAAAGAAACAAAGACUAGGGCCCCGGUGGGGCACUGGCGGGCCCGAGCCGUGUCUCGCCGCCCCCAGCGCGACCGCCUCCCCCUCCCGAUCGCGUCACACUCAAGGUCCAAAGAUGGUGUGCGCACUUGUCUGUGGUCAUUUACCAUUAUAAUGAAUGGGAGGCGCAGUUUCUACCAAAAUGCUCGCUGCAGACAAACUCCAUGUCCUUUUUGAAAAAAGUCUGGACCAUGAGUGAGGGCACAAACACAGCUUCCAUAUAUCCAAAUGGCAAGUUGCUCCUCCUUUCGGUUUUGCCGAGAGAGCGAUGCGUUUGAGCCAUUGGGCGAAGGGCAGGAAAAACUUAACUUUUUCUCCUGCCAUGGGGGGGGCGCUCUUUUGGGGAGAAAAAAUUCUUUCACAAAUGUGUUGAUGGCUGGACAUUGCAUCAUCCUAGAAAACUUGGAGGCCAGUGAGGACAAAAAUAAAAAGUUAUAAGACUUUUAAAUAUGUGGAUCUUAGGGUUAUCUUUGGCGCCCCCUAGAACCUAAACCGUGGGGUGCAGCGUCAUGAUUUGAAUAACUUUUAAUGGCCAUGGGGUGUAGAUUGGCCUGAGCAAAUGUGGUGCCGGUGGAACGAAAGCCUUCGGAGGAAUUAGCCACAUUCCAAUGUGUGCGAAUCUGCAAAAAAUGCGAAAUAACCCUUUAACCGUACAUUUUACAGAUACGCCCGCACUGACUUUUUUGUAGAUCUUAUUGAAAUACACGUGUAUGUAAAAUUUUGUGUCACUACGACAAAACAUACAGGCGUAGCACUCAACAAUGUGUAUUUUCACCUUAGUGGACAAGAAAAAAUUGACUUUUUUCUCCUGCCAUGGGGGGGCGCUCUUUUGCCGAGUAAAAAUUCCUUCACAAAUGUGUUGAUGGCUGGACAUUGCAUCAUCCUAGAAAACUUGGAGGCCAGUGGGGACAAAAAUAAAAAGUUAUAAGACUUUUAAAUAUGUGGAUUUUACGGUUAUCUUUGGCGCCCCCUAGAACGUAAACCGUGGGGUGCAGCGUCAUGAUUUUUACAACUUUGAAUGGCCAUGGGGUGUAGAUUGGCCUGAGCAAAUUUGGUUUCAGUGGGACGAAAGCCUUAGGAGGAGUUAGCCACAUUCCAAUGUGUGCGAAUCGGCAAAAAAUGCAAAAUAGCCCUCUAACCGUACAUUUUACAGAUACGUGGCCAUUGACUUUUUCGAAGAUCUUAUUGAAAUACACGUGUAUGUAAAAUUUUGUGUCAAUACGACAAAACAUACAGGCGUAGCACUCAACAAUGUGUAUUUUCACCUUAGUGGACAAGAAAAAAUUGACUUUUUUCUCCUGCCAUGGGGGGCGCUCUUUUGCCGAGUAAAAAUUCCUUCACAAAUGUGUUGAUGGCUGGACAUUGCAUCAUCCUAGAAAACUUGGAGGCCAGUGGGGACAAAAAUAAAAAGUUAUAAGACUUUUAAAUAUGUGGAUUUUACGGUUAUCUUUGGCGCCCCCUAGAACCUAAACCGUGGGGUGCAGCGUCAUGAUUUGAAUAACUUUUAAUGGCCAUGGGGUGUAGAUUGGCCUGAGCAAAUGUGGUGCCGGUGGAACGAAAGCCUUCGGAGGAGUUAGCGAAAUUCCAAUGUGUGCGGAUCGGCAAAAAAUGCGGAAUAACCCUUUAACCGUACAUUUGACAGAUACGCGCGCAUUGACUUUUUCGUAGAUCUUAUUGAGAUACAUGUGUGUGUCAAUUUUUGUGUCAUUUUGCCAAAGCGUACAGGUGUUACACCCAACAAUGUGUAUUUUCACCUUAGGGGACAAGAAAAAAUGGACUUUUUUCUCCUGCCAUGGGGGGCGCUCUUUUGGGGAGUAAAAAUUCCUUCACAAAUGUGUUGAUGGCUGGACAUUGCAUCAUCCUAGAAAACUUGGAGGCCAGUGAGGGCAAAAAUAAAAAGUUAUAAGACUUUUAAAUAUGUGGAUCUUAGGGUUAUCUUUGGCGCCCCCUAGAACCUAAACCGUGGGGUGCAGCGUCAUGAUUUGAAUAACUUUUAAUGGCCAUGGGGUGUAGAUUGGCCUGAGCAAAUGUGGUGCCGGUGGAACGAAAGCCUUCGGAGGAGUUAGCGAAAUUCCAAUGUGUGCGGAUCGGCAAAAAAUGCGAAAUAACCCUUUAACCGUACAUUUGACAGAUACGCCCGCACUGACUUUUUUGUAGAUCUUAUUGAGAUACAUGUGUGUGUCAAUUUUUGUGUCAUUUUGACAAAGCGUACAGGCGUGACAAUGAAUAGUGUGAAUUUUCACCUUAGGGGGCGCUAUGGAGCCAUUUUGCAUUUUCUUGUUUGGGCGACUUCGGAAUAUCAAAUUUUUCACCAGGCCCGGUCGUCCUGCCAAAUUUCAUGAGUUUUCGCCAGUGGGAAGUGGGCCAUUUUCCAGUUCAAAGGGGAGGAAAAAUAAUAACUAGGACCCCGUUGGGGCACUGGCGGGCCCGAGCUGUGUCGCGUCCCCCCCCCAACGCGCUGCCUCCCCGUCCCAUUUGUGUCCUCUGGCCAUCGCCCUCCCUGGUAACGCCCAUCACUGCAAAGACCCUUUUCCUUCAUCGGCGUUUGCUGUUCUUCCUGCCAGUGCGUGUUGCUUUCACUUACACUUGCCACAGCCAGCCUCGUGAGUGCCUAGCCUAUUGGAUAUCACUGUCACCUACACAGGACAGUCAUUACCUUUCUAUUAAUACUUUGUUUUUUAAUUUCACAUUAAUUUCCAUAUUGUAUAAACAACUGGAAAAAACUUGAGCCCCUGCCCCUGUAUAAUCAUGUGCACGUCUCUGUUCUAGCUCUAAGGUGAAUCUUCACUGCUCAUGUUCUCCUCAGAAGCAGUCACCUCACUCCCCUCAGGUUACUGUACACAUGCACCAACUGCCUGCUUCAGGUUUGGAUGGAGCUUCAUGGUUGUCUUUUGGAGUAAUGACCAGUCAAGUUGUGUUUGAAAUUUGAUUUUUUUCAGGGGCAAAAGGAGCCUCUGCAUUCUUGUCAAAUAUGUAAAUAGCAUGUUUUUGCAGGUGCUAAAAACCAGACUCUGAGUGUG
This 19138-nucleotide long non-coding RNA is filed under the name Xyrichtys novacula (pearly razorfish). The record is from RNAcentral. Lineage: Eukaryota; Metazoa; Chordata; Actinopteri; Labriformes; Labridae.